Long non-coding RNA from Ictalurus punctatus (channel catfish), 2189 nucleotides. The record is from Ensembl. Lineage: Eukaryota; Metazoa; Chordata; Actinopteri; Siluriformes; Ictaluridae.
AUUGGUUCCUUACUAAUCAAACCGCGGCAAAGAAAUAAACGUCCAACAUGAUUGUUUUUUUUUUUGAAGAGAGAAGUUCAAUUCAGUUCAGUUCAGUUCAGUUCAAUUCAAUUCAGUUCGCUUUAAAUUGUAUAGCGCUUUUUUAUACAAGUGAGAUUGUCACAAAACAGAUUUACAGAAAUAUAUAAACUUCCAAUCUAAAUUUUAAAUUCAAUUUUAAAUUCAUCCCUAAUGAGCAGGCCAGAGGUGACGGUGGCAAGAAAAAAACCUCCCUGAGAUAUGAGGAAGAAACCUAGAGAGGAACCAGACUCAAAUGGGACCCAUCCUCAUCUGUGUAACAACAUCUUGGCUGAUGAGAUGAUGAGGAGCAGAUGCGUUUGCUGAUUCAAACAGGAGGGGGAGCAGAGUGGAGUGCCAUGCCCAGGGAGACACACAAACACACUCAAACAGGAGGAGAGGGAGAGACAAACACGGGUAACACAAGGAAGGGGGAAAAUAGAUAAACACAAGGAAGUGGAAAAAAACAGGAGCCUUGGCUGAAACCAUGACAAUCCCCCCUAUCAACAGGAGCCUGCAGAUGACCUGCCAGGCUUGUCAGGAUGGGCCUGAUGGAAAUCCUGGAUGAGAAAGGGGUCCAGGAGGGGUCCAGGGGUCCAGGAACGGGGCACCCAAGUCUGCUCCUCCGGUCCAUGCCCUGUCUGGGGUGGGUUGGGUGCGUUGGGUCUCCUUGACCACUGCCUCAAUGUCUCACAUAACUGUUCCUACCAUGCAGGAAUAAGGGAAGAUGUCAUGGCUCGUGGGGGCCUCUUCAGAGACAAAUUGGUGAGAGAGGGCAUAGGGCUUGACCUUCCUGGAUCUGGGGUGGUACGUGAUGGUGAAGUUGAAGUGACCAAAGAAUAGAGCCCAGCAUGCUUGACAUGAGUUCAGUGGUUAGUCCACAUGAUGGACUUAUGGUUAGUCCACACGAUGAAUGGCCCCCUUGGAGCCAGUAUCUCCAUUUCUCCAGAGCCAGCUUGACUGCAAGCAACUCAUGGUUCCCCACAUCGUAGUUGCUUUCAGCUGAGAACAGGUGGCGAGAGAAGACAGGACCCUUUUUCAUUUACACCAAUUUGCCAAUCUUCCAUUUGGGUUUUUCAGAGCCACAGCUACAUCUCAAUGUCCAAAUGACUGUGUGCUACAGCCCCACUGUGCAUAUGCCACUAUGGAUUUAGAUGACAUAAUAAUCCACAAUAUGAUUGCCAGUGGCAUCUGCAGCAUCUGAGGGCAGUUCUAAAAUUCUUUGACAUGAGCCAGCCUCACAACAAACCUGGCAAAUCUGUGAUUGGAUGGGCCAGGUUAUGCUAUCUGGGAUUUCACUUGUCAUAGACAGAUGUGUCCCCAAAUUAAUAAGACUGCUGUGAUUACAAUCUGAUCACAAACCAAGAUCAAAAAGGGAGUGAGAAAGUUCCUGGGGCUGGUGGGAUAUUAUCAUAAGCUUGUUCCUAAUUAUAUGUGGCAUGUGGGGGUGUGAUUUAGCAUGAGUCUGCAUUGGAAAGUAAGUGUUUGGGGGCAAGCUAGAGGGGUAAUGACUAAAGUGGCACACCUGAGCCCUUGAGCAGUGAGCUGAGCUGUGUUGCCAGCUGUGACGAGUGGAGCAUAGCCAAGUAGAAAGUAGUGAUCAAGCCGGAAAGCUGCAACAUUAUUUGUUUAGUAAAUGUUUUAGAUUAUUGUCUGACAACAAAUCAAAAAGUUCACAUGACAUCUUAACCUGGGCUUGAUGUGUUUUCUGAGUGACUUAUAUCACGGCAAACAAUCUUUCCAGCCUAAGUCAAAAAACUUCAGAGACAGAGGGUUAGUAGAUGUCAAAAAGUAAAUAAACUUUAUUGAAACUAUAAAGUGAGACAGUCUGCAGAAAGUCUAAAUUAUGAAAACACACACAUCCCUUUUUAUAACUUUCUCCACAGCAUACUCAUCUUAUCUGGGGUUUUGCCUUUCCUCAUUAAAAACAGACCAAUCUUCUUCGCCACAAUUAAUUAAUUAUUCAUUUCUAUAUGUUAUCUUAAGUUUGUGGAGCAUGCGCAGUUAGUUGUUUUUCUUGAAACGGUUUUAUGAGGAUAAGGUUUCUUUUUAAAAAAAAAAAAAAAAAAAAAAAAGGUUUCACUCAGUCAGACUCUUUGUUUUUUUUUUGUCUCCCGGACCUUGAAAAAAAC